CAGCCGCCACGGGAAUACGGAGGGCGCGAGCGUUACCCGGAUUUACUGGGCGUAAAGGGCGUAUAGGCGGCCUGGGGCGUCCCAUGUGAAAGGCCACGGCUCAACCGUGGAGGAGCGUGGGAUACGCUCAGGCUAGAGGGUGGGAGAGGGUGGUGGAAUUCCCGGAGUAGCGGUGAAAUGCGCAGAUACCGGGAGGAACGCCGAUGGCGUAGGCAGCCACCUGGUCCACUUCUGACGCUGAGGCACGAAAGCGUGGGGAGCAAACAGGAUUAGAUACCCCCGUAGUCCCUGUCUCUUAUAC
This 301-nucleotide ribosomal RNA is filed under the name uncultured bacterium. RNAcentral describes it as "partial 16S ribosomal RNA". It matches the Rfam family "Bacterial small subunit ribosomal RNA", at positions 509 to 807 of the family's 1533-position model. The record is from RNAcentral.